This is a small nuclear RNA of Rattus norvegicus (Norway rat), 103 nucleotides long. The record is from Ensembl. NCBI's taxonomy places the organism in Eukaryota, Metazoa, Chordata, Mammalia, Rodentia, Muridae.
GUGCUCUCCUUGGCAGCAUGUAUACUAAAAAUUGGAAGGAUACAGAGGUUACCAUGGCCCUUGCCAAAGGAUGAUGCACAAAUGCAUGAAACUCCAUAUUUAA